This 212-nucleotide long non-coding RNA is filed under the name Lathyrus oleraceus (garden pea). Its description in RNAcentral is "Pisum sativum (pea) long non-coding RNA (PSAT_LNC032839)". The record is from RNAcentral. Lineage: Eukaryota; Viridiplantae; Streptophyta; Magnoliopsida; Fabales; Fabaceae.
CAAUAGUAUCAUCAAUAAAAAUACAAUUUUAUUCAUCCACAUCUAUGAUGUUUAUUUUUACUUUUCCCUUUUUCUGAAAAUGCUAAUCACAAAAAAUAAAAAGCUAUAAUUUUUCUAGAUCUGAAUAAUAUUUGUUGGCAGUCCAUUUCUCUAACAUCAAAAUAUAAUAUCAUUAUGCAGGUUGAUUCUCAAACCAAUUAAACGUAAUAAUC